GUAGGGAAUAUUGGACAAUGGGUGAGAGCCUGAUCCAGCCAUGCCGCGUGCAGGAAGAAGGCGUUAUGCGUUGUAAACUGCUUUUGCCAGGGGAUAAAACGGUUCUGCGGAACUAAUUGAAGGUACCUGGUGAAUAAGCCACGGCUAACUACGUGCCAGCAGCCGCGGUAAUACGUAGGUGGCAAGCGUUGUCCGGAUUUAUUGGGUUUAAAGGGUGCGUAGGCGGCCCUGUAAGUCAGUGCUGAAAUAUCCCGGCUUAACCGGGAGGGUGGCAUUGAUACUGCAGGGCUUGAGUACAGAUGAGGUAGGCGGAAUUGACGGUGUAGCGGUGAAAUGCAUAGAUAUCGUCAAGAACACCGAUAGCGAAGGCAGCUUACCAAGCUGUAACUGACGCUGAGGCACGAAAGUGUGGGGAUCAAACAGGAUUAGAAACCCGAGUAGUCC
This 444-nucleotide ribosomal RNA is filed under the name uncultured bacterium. RNAcentral's name for it is "bacterial SSU rRNA". It matches the Rfam family "Bacterial small subunit ribosomal RNA", at positions 354 to 796 of the family's 1533-position model. RNAcentral also lists the same sequence under 1 other name. The record is from RNAcentral.